RNAcentral lists this ribosomal RNA (490 nucleotides) under uncultured bacterium. Its description in RNAcentral is "partial 16S ribosomal RNA". It matches the Rfam family "Bacterial small subunit ribosomal RNA", at positions 30 to 507 of the family's 1533-position model. The record is from RNAcentral.
AUUGAACGCUGGCGGCAGGCUUAACACAUGCAAGUCGAGCGGUAGCACAAGAGAGCUUGCUCUCUGGGUGACGAGCGGCGGACGGGUGAGUCAUGUCUGGGAAACUGCCUGAUGGAGGGGGAUAACUACUGAAAACGGUAGCUAAUACCGCAUAACGUCGCAAGACCAAAGAGGGGGACCUUCGGGCCUCUUGCCAUCAGAUGUGCCCAGAUGGGAUUAGCUAGUAGGUGGGGUAAUGGCUCACCUAGGCGACGAUCCCUAGCUGGUCUGAGAGGAUGACCAGCCACACUGGAACUGAGACACGGUCCAGACUCCUACGGGAGGCAGCAGUGGGGAAUAUUGCACAAUGGGCGCAAGCCUGAUGCAGCCAUGCCGCGUGUGUGAAGAAGGUCUUCGGGUUGUAAAGCACUUUCAGCGAGGAGGAAGGUGGUGAACUUAAUACGUUCAUCAAUUGACGUUACUCGCAGAAGAAGCACCGGCUAACUCCGUG